Molecule: long non-coding RNA, 1039 nt
Filed under: Monodelphis domestica (gray short-tailed opossum)
Lineage: Eukaryota; Metazoa; Chordata; Mammalia; Didelphimorphia; Didelphidae
Description: lncRNA (ENSMODG00000042178.1)
Source: RNAcentral
GUUUAAGUUAGUGGGCAGGUAGAAAAAUCCGCUGGUACUGUAAUAGAGGGUAAUGUCACUUUAAGACAUGUGAUACUUUACCGAGCAGGGAUGUAUCGAAACAGACUACUGAUACUUCAGGGCACCGUCUAGCAGCAGUCCAGCUCUCUCGGAACAGAGCGAGUUGCCUGAUUGCACUGAAGGCAGGGGAACAGGGAUGGUCCCUCAUUAAGACGAAACUGAUUUUCAUCUGCAAGUACCCCGGGAACUAUACAUUACCUCAAGAUCCCUCCAAAGGGCUCAUCGCACAGAGGGACCACUAGCAGAUGAUUUAAAGGUGAAGAUGACAAGGUUUCCACCCCUCAAACCUUGGCUACUUUUCUGACAACGCGAUCUGAGCUCUGAUGUCUUCUUUAUUCUGGAAAUAGGAUUGAUAACAAGAAAAAGAAAGAAAGAAAUCGCUCUCCUUUUUUAAUCCCGAUAAAGAAGAUUAUUGAAAACCUCUGAUUGUGGUCCCUACACAUGGAUUUUAAAAAGUGUUAGAUCUUUCCAAUGAACACUAAUAGAGCAUUCUGCUCCUGGUUGGAUUACUCAGAGUAUGGCUAUGGUCUCUGCAAUGUCCUGGGUCCUGUAUUUGUGGAUAAGUGCUUGUGCAAUGCUCCUCUGUCAGGGAUCUCUUCAUCACACUUUCCAACAGCAUCACCUGCACAGACCAGGAGAAAAUGAGGAAGGCCCCCAGCAUGUGAUGUGGCAGACCUAUGGAGGAUUUGGACAAGAGUCUCCCAGGAUAGGUACGUGUUUGUGGUUCAUGAUCUUGUAUCAGUUGGGGAAUUUACAAAUUGCUACUGUCACCAAUUCUUUUGAGUAUUUGAGCAUUUUCUAUAAACUAAAAACAUAAUGUCUCAAGCACAUAUGGACUACUAUUUUUCAAAUGUCUACUUGUUUAAGAAAUAUAUAUGUUCAUUUAAAAACAUUCCUGAAUCAUUGUUCUGAAUUCAUAAUGGAUUUCUGUCUUUGUGUAUUUUUUUUCCUGAUGCCACAAGGACUGUCAUGGAGGGUC